CGCACCUUGCGCUCCUUGGUAUUCCGAGGAGCAUGCCUGUUUGAGUGUCAUUAAAUUCUCAACCUCACCGGUUUUCUGAACCGUUCUCCGAGGCUUGGAUGUGGGGGUCUGUGCAGGUCGCCUCAGCGCGGUCUGCUCCCCUGAAAUGCAUUAGCGAGAUUCAUUCUGGACCUCCGUCUAUCGGUGUGAUAAUUAUCUACGUCGUUGACUUGGUUCGGACUCGCUUCUAACCGUCCGCGAGGACAACAUUACUUGACAAUUUGACCUCAAAUCAGGUAGGACUACCCGCUGAACUUAA
RNAcentral lists this unclassified non-coding RNA (298 nucleotides) under Psathyrellaceae sp. Its description in RNAcentral is "partial contains 5.8S ribosomal RNA, internal transcribed spacer 2, and large subunit ribosomal RNA". The record is from RNAcentral. Lineage: Eukaryota; Fungi; Basidiomycota; Agaricomycetes; Agaricales; Psathyrellaceae.